RNAcentral lists this ribosomal RNA (447 nucleotides) under uncultured bacterium. Its description in RNAcentral is "partial 16S ribosomal RNA". It matches the Rfam family "Bacterial small subunit ribosomal RNA", at positions 28 to 523 of the family's 1533-position model. The record is from RNAcentral.
GAUGAACGCUGGCGGCAUGCCUAACACAUGCAAGUCGAACGAGGCGCAAGCCUAGUGGCGAACGGGUGAGUAACGCGUAGGAAUCUGCCCCGAACUGGGAAAUAACGGCCAUAAGCCGGGUAAUGUCCCAUAGUCCCGCAAGGGUAAAGUCGCAAGACGGUUUGGGAGGAGCCUGCGUCCCAUCAGCUAGUUGGUGGGGUAAUGGCCCACCAAGGCGACGAUCAGUAGCUGGUCUGAGAGGAUGAUCAGCCACACUGGGACUGAGACACGGCCCAGACUCCUACGGGAGGCAGCAGUGGGGAAUCUUGGACAAUGGGCGCAAGCCUGAUCCAGCCAUGCCGCGUGGGUGAUGAAGGCCCUAGGGUUGUAAAGCCCUUUCGGCGGGGAAGAUAAUGACGGUACCCGCAGAAGAAGCCCCGGCUAACUUCGUGCCAGCCGCCGCAGUAA